UACGUAGGGUGCAAGCGUUGUCCGGAAUUAUUGGGCGUAAAGAGCUCGUAGGCGGCUUGUUGCGUCGACCGUGAAAACCUGUGGCUUAACUACAGGCUUGCGGUUGAUACGGGCAGGCUAGAGUUCGGUAGGGGAGACUGGAAUUCCUGGUGUAGCGGUGAAAUGCGCAGAUAUCAGGAGGAACACCGGUGGCGAAGGCGGGUCUCUGGACCGGUACUGACGCUGAAAUACGAAAGCGUGGGGAGCAAACAGG
Molecule: ribosomal RNA, 253 nt
Filed under: uncultured bacterium
Lineage: Bacteria
Description: partial 16S ribosomal RNA
Rfam family: Bacterial small subunit ribosomal RNA
Source: RNAcentral